CCUACGGGAGGCAGCAGUGGGGAAUAUUGCACAAUGGGCGCAAGCCUGAUGCAGCCAUGCCGCGUGUGUGAAGAAGGCCUUCGGGUUGUAAAGCACUUUCAGCGGGGAGGAAGGCGUUAAGGUUAAUAACCUUGGCGAUUGACGUUACCCGCGGAAGAAGCACCGGCUAACUCCGUGCCAGCAGCCGCGGUAAUACGGAGGGUGCAAGCGUUAAUCGGAAUUACUGGGCGUAAAGCGCACGCAGGCGGUCUGUCAAGUCGGAUGUGAAAUCCCCGGGCUCAACCUGGGAACUGCAUUCGAAACUGGCAGGCUAGAGUCUUGUAGAGGGGGGUAGAAUUCCAGGUGUAGCGGUGAAAUGCGUAGAGAUCUGGAGGAAUACCGGUGGCGAAGGCGGCCCCCUGGACAAAGACUGACGCUCAGGUGCGAAAGCGUGGGGAGCAAACAGGAUUAGAUACCCGAGUAGUC
RNAcentral lists this ribosomal RNA (465 nucleotides) under uncultured Klebsiella sp. RNAcentral describes it as "bacterial SSU rRNA". It matches the Rfam family "Bacterial small subunit ribosomal RNA", at positions 338 to 795 of the family's 1533-position model. Lineage: Bacteria; Pseudomonadati; Pseudomonadota; Gammaproteobacteria; Enterobacterales; Enterobacteriaceae. The record is from RNAcentral.